This 652-nucleotide ribosomal RNA is filed under the name uncultured bacterium. Its description in RNAcentral is "bacterial SSU rRNA". It matches the Rfam family "Bacterial small subunit ribosomal RNA", at positions 28 to 674 of the family's 1533-position model. The record is from RNAcentral.
AUUGAACGCUGGCGGCAGGCCUAACACAUGCAAGUCGAGCGGUAGAGAGAAGCUUGCUUCUCUUGAGAGCGGCGGACGGGUGAGUAAUGCCUAGGAAUCUGCCUGGUAGUGGGGGAUAACGUUCGGAAACGGACGCUAAUACCGCAUACGUCCUACGGGAGAAAGCAGGGGACCUUCGGGCCUUGCGCUAUCAGAUGAGCCUAGGUCGGAUUAGCUAGUUGGUGAGGUAAUGGCUCACCAAGGCAACGAUCCGUAACUGGUCUGAGAGGAUGAUCCGCCACACUGGGACUGAGACACGGCCCAGACUCCUACGGGAGGCAGCAGUGGGGAAUAUUGGACAAUGGGGGGAACCCUGAUCCAGCCAUGCCGCGUGUGUGAAGAAGGCCUUUUGGUUGUAAAGCACUUUAAGCGAGGAGGAGGCUCCCAGUAUUAAUACUACUGGAGAGUGGACGUUACUCGCAGAAUAAGCACCGGCUAACUCUGUGCCAGCAGCCGCGGUAAUACGUAGGGUGCGAGCGUUAAUCGGAAUUACUGGGCGUAAAGCGUGCGCAGGCGGUUUGAUAAGACAGGCGUGAAAUCCCCGGGCUCAACCUGGGAAUUGCAUUGGAGACUGCAAGGCUAGAAUCUGGCAGAGGGGGGUAGAAUUCCACGU